RNAcentral lists this ribosomal RNA (484 nucleotides) under uncultured bacterium. RNAcentral's name for it is "partial 16S ribosomal RNA". It matches the Rfam family "Bacterial small subunit ribosomal RNA", at positions 30 to 507 of the family's 1533-position model. The record is from RNAcentral.
AUUGAACGCUAGCGGGAUGCUUUACACAUGCAAGUCGAACGGCAGCGCGGACUUCGGUCUGGCGGCGAGUGGCGAACGGGUGAGUAAUGUAUCGGAACGUGCCCAUUAGCGGGUGCUAACUACGCCAAAGCGUAGCUAAUACCGCAUACGCCCUACGGGGGAAAGCAGGGGAUCGUAAGAUCUUCCACCAUUGGAGCGGUCGAUAUCGGAUUAGCUAGUUGGUGAGGUAACGGCUCACCAAGGCGACGAUCCGUAGCUGGUUUGAGAGGACGACCAGCCACACUGGGACUGAGACACGGCCCAGACUCCUACGGGAGGCAGCAGUGGGGAAUUUUGGACAAUGGGGGCAACCCUGAUCCAGCCAUCCCGCGUGUGCGAUGAAGGCCUUCGGGUUGUAAAGCACUUUUGGCAGGAAAGAAACGUCGCGGGCUAAUACCCCGUGGAACUGACGGUACCUGCAGAAUAAGCACCGGCUAACUACGUG